This 253-nucleotide ribosomal RNA is filed under the name uncultured bacterium. RNAcentral's name for it is "partial 16S ribosomal RNA". It matches the Rfam family "Bacterial small subunit ribosomal RNA", at positions 524 to 776 of the family's 1533-position model. The record is from RNAcentral.
UACGGAGGGGGCUAGCGUUGUUCGGAAUUACUGGGCGUAAAGCGCACGUAGGCGGCUUUGUAAGUUAGAGGUGAAAGCCCGGGGCUCAACUCCGGAAUUGCCUUUAAGACUGCAUCGCUAGAAUUGUGGAGAGGUAAGUGGAAUUCCGAGUGUAGAGGUGAAAUUCGUAGAUAUUCGGAAGAACACCAGUGGCGAAGGCAGCUCGCUGGGACGUUACUGACGCUGAGACGCGAAAGCUAGGGGAGCAAACAGG